RNAcentral lists this ribosomal RNA (394 nucleotides) under uncultured bacterium. RNAcentral's name for it is "bacterial SSU rRNA". It matches the Rfam family "Bacterial small subunit ribosomal RNA", at positions 30 to 422 of the family's 1533-position model. The record is from RNAcentral.
AUUGAACGCUGGCGGCAGGCCUAACACAUGCAAGUCGAGCGGUAGAGAGGUGCUUGCAUCUCUUGAGAGCGGCGGACGGGUGAGUAAUGCCUAGGAAUCUGCCUAGUGGUGGAGGAUAACGUUCGGAAACGGACGCUAAUACCGCAUACGUCCUACGGGAGAAAGCGGGGGAUCUUCGGACCUCGCGCCAUUAGAUGAGCCUAGGUCGGAUUAGCUAGUUGGUGAGGUAAUGGCUCACCAAGGCGACGAUCCGUAACUGGUCUGAGAGGAUGAUCAGUCACACUGGAACUGAGACACGGUCCAGACUCCUACGGGAGGCAGCAGUGGGGAAUAUUGGACAAUGGGCGAAAGCCUGAUCCAGCCACUAGCCGCGUGUGUGAAGAAGGUCUUCGGA